CACAAUUUUGAGGCCAACUUCAUUUUGAAUAUUCACUUCGUUGCUUAAACAUGAGUUCGGAAGUUGUUGCUUUACUUAUUAUAAAUGACGCGCUCUCUUUGACAGCCGAAAUAAAAUGGCGAAAUCGUUUGAAAUCGCACGACCAACCCAAACACAAUCCAACUUGACAAAAUAUCAAAAAAUUUUGAUUUUCAUCCAAUCAGUUGGUGCAACCCAUACAACUGCCCCAUAUAUGUACGUAACAAUCAGUUGUACAAUUCGGUGAAAUUGGUACAAUAUUUGUAGCGUGUAUGCCUUCCAUAAAGGUUGCCCAACUGACUGUGCUUAACUAUUUUAACCCUCGUCGAGACCAACGGGUCUGGCCAGGCAUAUUUUGUUUUUAAAUGUUAUUUAAAUAUAUUUAGAGUGCAGCAAACGACUUGCGCUUCCAGGUAGCUCCCUAGAAUUUUAUUGUCUAUAGAAUUCAGAAAAAAAAAUUCAAGGAUAUCGUAUCGAAAAGGACGAAAAAAGGAUAUUAUAAUAUUACACCUUAGUCGAGGCCAAUGGUGCUUGGCUAGACCCCAUAUGUUUUGUAUGAAAAUAUAUGAACUUUGGAAUGUUUCUAUCACUUCGCACGGUUAAUUUAUCUGUUUUCAUGUUCAUUACAUGUCCAAAUUGGUUUGUAUGUUUAUCUAGGUCAAAUACUUUAGCCGCUAGAGCGUUUUAAAGGUUAAGAAAAAAUGUAUUUUUUCUCAAAAUGUUACAUUUUUUGUGAACGCUUUUGCUACGCCAAGCGUGAACAAAGCGGUCAAUUUGAUUGAAAUCAAAUUGAGAGGUAAGAAAUUUCAAAAAUCUAUCUAUAUUGUACAUAUAUGAGCGUAAAUACAACACGUAUUUCCAUACAAAUGUAUGUAAACACAUAGGGGCCUAGCCAAGCACCAUUGGUCUCGACUAAGUGUAUCAGACCGUUGGUCUCGACGAGGGUUAAUGCUAAAGCAUUGAUUCGAUUACAGAUACAUCAUAACAAACUAAAUGGCGACAACUGGCUCCGGGAGGCGACGACGGCGCACUCUAUUUGUUUCCUCUAACUUACUAUCCGGUUAGAUAUGCAGAUAAGUACAUAUGUAUGUAUGUACUUAUGUAUAACCCUCACGCAGUCGAUGGCUGAAGUGGCGACAACUUUAAAGGUCCAUUGUCAUCGACAGUCAACAAUUUGCGUCAUUUUUGGACCACCAGGAGAGUCAGGAUCAAUGUCACCAGGAUGCGCCAUUUUGCAAGCGAUAACUUGAAUAAAAAUUGAGGUAUCGCGAUGAAGCUGGGUAAAAUUGGAAACUGAUAAAACUCGAAUUUAAUUUGCAUAAUAAUUAUUGCAAUUCGUGACUGCACACUUCAUUUUAUAUAUGGUAAAUAGUUAUACACUUGGCUAUUUUCGGAUCGAAAAGACAACCACCAGCUGGAUCAUGUGACCCUGACCAUGUCUUGUUGCAGCGAAGAUACGCACCCGCCUCUGGCAGCAAGAAACGCACGCCAAUAAACACAAGAGAGGUUCGACGUCGAGGAGCUGCAGACAGCCGAAAGAUUUUUUUGCUCGACUUGCUCUCCUGCACUCCUGAGUGCACUCAUUAGCAACUCGGUAUAAGUGAAGUGUGGGAUGGCAUUUCAAGCUCCUCAUGUACAGGGGUAAUUCUCGAAAUUCUACGAAAAGAUGCGGCCACUAACAGAAAGUGAUUGAUGCCCAGAACACUUCUCCAUUCUGGUUGGCAGAAGCACUUCUAAUUAGAGUGUUGCCUCAUUAAGUGUAAAUGAGUUAUAAAUAAUAAUUGUAAGCUCCAAGAAAGAGUAAUAAAAUGUAAAGUUAUUUAAAUAAGAAGUAAAGACCAGCAGAUAGCCAUAAAAUUGUGACUUAUAGCAUCCAGUGAUCGAACACAAAGUAGUAGUAGUAAAUCUGUUAUAUUUUUCCACUAGUAGCCACCAUAUAAACCGUCUAUCUAAAUAAGUAAAAACUUCACUUUAGAUCAUAAAAGUUUUUUGCGACACUUAGGGGUGUUGUGGAAUCUGAUAG
Molecule: long non-coding RNA, 2041 nt
Organism: Bactrocera dorsalis (oriental fruit fly)
Lineage: Eukaryota; Metazoa; Arthropoda; Insecta; Diptera; Tephritidae
Exons: 3
Source: RefSeq, a predicted model, not a curated record